ACGGGGUGCAGCAGGCGCGAAACCUUUGCAAUGUGCGCAAGCACGACAAGGUUAAUCCGAGUGUUUCCUGCUAAAGGAAUCUUUUGUUAGUCGUAAAACCACUGAUGAAUAAGGGGUGGGCAAGUUCUGGUGUCAGCCGCCGCGGUAAAACCAGCACCUCAAGUGGUCAGGAGGAUUAUUGGGCCUAAAGCAUCCGUAGCCGGCUCUGCAAGUUUUCGGUUAAAUCCAUUUGCUUAACAAAUGGGCUGCCGAAAAUACUACAUAGCUGGGGAGUGGGAGAGGUAGACGGUAUUCGGUAGGAAGGGGUAAAAUCCUUUGAUCUAUUGAGGACCACCUAUGGCGAAGGCAGUCUACCAGAACACGUUCGACGGUGAGGGAUGAAAGCUGGGGGAGCAAACCGGAUUAGAUACCCGGGUAGUCCCAGCUGUAAACGAUGCAGACUCGGUGAUGCGCUGGCUUGUGGCCAGUGCAGUGCCGCAGGGAAGCCGUUAAGUCUGCCGCCUGGGAAGUACGUACGCAAGUAUGAAACUUAAAGGAAUUGGCGGGGGAGCAC
RNAcentral lists this ribosomal RNA (553 nucleotides) under uncultured Nitrososphaerota archaeon. RNAcentral describes it as "bacterial SSU rRNA". It matches the Rfam family "Archaeal small subunit ribosomal RNA", at positions 325 to 879 of the family's 1478-position model. The record is from RNAcentral. Lineage: Archaea; Thermoproteati; Nitrososphaerota.